CAGCCGCCGCGGUAAUACGUAGGUGGCAAGCGUUGUCCGGAAUUAUUGGGCGUAAAGGGCUCGCAGGCGGUUUCUUAAGUCUGAUGUGAAAGCCCCCGGCUCAACCGGGGAGGGUCAUUGGAAACUGGGAAACUUGAGUGCAGAAGAGGAGAGUGGAAUUCCACGUGUAGCGGUGAAAUGCGUAGAGAUGUGGAGGAACACCAGUGGCGAAGGCGACCCUCUGGUCUGUAACUGACGCUGAGGAGCGAAAGCGUGGGGAGCGAACAGGAUUAGAGACCCCUGUAGUCCCUGUCUCUUAUAC
RNAcentral lists this ribosomal RNA (301 nucleotides) under uncultured bacterium. RNAcentral describes it as "partial 16S ribosomal RNA". It matches the Rfam family "Bacterial small subunit ribosomal RNA", at positions 509 to 807 of the family's 1533-position model. The record is from RNAcentral.